CAGAGCUGUUCCUCAAUAAAUGGGCAUUUUCUCCGGUGGCAAGCUUUGAUGGUUCUUUCAGGAAACAAAUAUGGCAGAAGAUACGAAUAUCACUUGAGAUACUUGGUUUUAUGAAGACUAAGACCUCUUUUCUCAGAGCUCCCUCUGACUCCCCGGCUCAUUUACUCUGAGGGAAGUCAACUGCCAUGUUAUGAACUACCCUGCGAGAGGCCCAGGUAACAAGAAACUGAGGGAGAAUUUGGCCAACAGCCAGUGAGAAACCAAAGACCCAUGCCUACCAGUCCAUGAUGAACUUCAUCCUUCAGACAACCACGUGCCUUGGAGCAAAGCAUGUUUGCUAACCUGUCACCACUGAUGGGCAGAUAGAUGCUUUUGAAAGCAGAUUUAACAAAUCGAUCAAAAUUUCACAAGGAAAAGAACAGCUUUAAAGAUUCUGCACAGGCCCUUGGGAACUUUCCUUAGCCACCUGAAAGCCGGGCCCUUCAGCAGAUUUUCCACUUUGAUGAAUUCUUUCCCUACAAUCUCAUCAAGCACAGGAGAUGAACCAGCAGGAGAGAAGACUACAGUUCACAUCACAUCCAGAGCCCAGGCAAACGUCUCAGGCUAUUGUCUAUUCUCGGGGCUCAUUUACCUCCCCUAAAAAUCACUUACUCUUCUUCUAAAAAUUGCCUACAUCCCCCACUAACCUCUCCCCUAGGAAGAGAGUACAUCAAUUUCUUACUCUCUUUGGAUUAUUGAGUACCUCCUCUCCCGUGAUGCCCU
Molecule: long non-coding RNA, 762 nt
Organism: Ictidomys tridecemlineatus (thirteen-lined ground squirrel)
Lineage: Eukaryota; Metazoa; Chordata; Mammalia; Rodentia; Sciuridae
Source: RefSeq, a predicted model, not a curated record